GAGUGGCCACUAUUUUAGGUGAGACGUUGGGAAGUUAGGAUACAUAAGGUUAUUUCAUUUAUAUCUGUAAGCAAUGUUAAACCAUUACUUGACAAAAGACGAUUCCGAACACAGUUCUGUAAUACAUGACUUUUUCGAUUUCGUAUAAAUUUGAUUUUAAAAUGAUUAUUAAAAAAAAAAAGUCGUCCGAUAAUUUUGGAAAGUUUAU
Cinara cedri is the source of this 208-nucleotide non-coding RNA. NCBI's taxonomy places the organism in Eukaryota, Metazoa, Arthropoda, Insecta, Hemiptera, Aphididae. The record is from the annotation of a GenBank genome assembly.